UUAAUUGAAAUUUAAUUUUUUUUGUUUUAAUAGUUUAUAAAUUUUUAUUAAUAAAAAUAUUUUUAUUCUGUUUUAGUAAUAUUAAAUAAAAAAAUUAUUUAUAUUUAUAGAUUAAAGUAUUGAAAAAGAAACUUGAAAUAAUUUGAAAAAUUAAUAAUUAAAAAGAAAAAUUUAUUUUUUGUUCCUUGUGUAUCAGGAUUAAUUAAAAAUAAAAUUUUUUAAAAAAAUUAUUUAUAAUUUAAAAGAUUUAUAAAUUUUUAAGUUUUAUUAUUUAAAAAAUAUUAUUUAAAAAUUUAUUGAAAUUAAAAGUUAAUCGUUUUUAAAGUUAUAUAAUUUUUAAAGAAAUAAAUUUAAUUUAUAAUUAAUUUUAUAUUAUAAAAAUAAUUUAAAUUAUUUUUAUAAUUAAUUUAAUUUAAUAUUUUAUGGGUUGAGCUUUAAAAUAAAAUUUUAAAAAUAAAAUUUUUUUGGUAUAUAAAAAUAAUCUUAAAAAUAGAUAUUUUUAAUUAUUAUGUUUUAAUUAAUUUUUUAUAUAUUUAUAUUUAUUUUAUAAAAAUUUUAAUUUUAUAUUUAAAUAAUUAUUAAAAUUUAAAAAAUAAUUUAAUUAUAAUUAAAUUAGUAAUUUUAUUUAUAUUUUAUAAAUUAAUAUUUAUAAGAAAUAUAAAAUUUAUGAAUUAGGCAAUAUUAUUUUUAAUUGUUUAACAAAAACAUUGUUUUUUUUAUUUUUUAAAAAAUAAGGCCUGCACACUGAUAUUUUUAAAGAGCCGCGGUAAUUUGACCGUGCAAAGGUAGCAUAAUCAUUAGUUUUUUAAUUGAAGACUGGAAUGAAAGGUUUAAUAAAAAAUAAGCUUUAUUAUUUUUAUAUAAAAUGAAUUUGUUUUUUUAGUAAAAAAACUAAAAUAUUGAUAAAAGACGAUAAGACCCUAUAAAGCUUUAUAAAAUUAAUUUUUAUAAUUUUUUUGGAAAAUUAAAAAUUUUAUAAAUUAGUUAUUGAAUUGGGGUGAUUUAAAGAUUUAAUUAACUCUUUAUAUAAAGUUUUAAAAAUAAUUAAAUUUAAGAUCCUGAAUUUUUGGAUUUAAAAAUUAAGUUACUUUAGGGAUAACAGCGUAAUUUUUUUAGAGAGUUCAAAUCGAUAAAAAAGAUUGCGACCUCGAUGUUGAAUUAAGAUAUAAUUUUAGGUGUAGAAGUUUAAAUUUUUAGUCUGUUCGACUAUUUAUUCUUACAUGAUUUGAGUUCAAACCGGUUUAAGCCAGGUUGGUUUCUAUCUUUAUUAAUUUAUUAUAUUUUAGUACGAAAGGACCAAAUAUAAAAAUUUUAUUUUUACAUAUUGAAUAGUAUUAAUUUAAUUAAAAAGUUUAAAAAUUUAAAUAAUUUAUAAAUAGAAU
This 1382-nucleotide ribosomal RNA is filed under the name Axarus fungorum. RNAcentral's name for it is "16S ribosomal RNA". Lineage: Eukaryota; Metazoa; Arthropoda; Insecta; Diptera; Chironomidae. The record is from RNAcentral.